GACGAACGCUGGCGGCGUGCCUAAUACAUGCAAGUGGGACGCAAGGAAACACACUGUGCUUGCACACCGUGUUUUCUUGAGUCGCGAACGGGUGAGUAACGCGUAGGUAACCUGCCUAUUAGCGGGGGAUAACUAUUGGAAACGAUAGCUAAUACCUCAUAAUAUUAAUUAUUGCAUGAUAAUUGAUUGAAAGAUGCAAUCGCAUCACUAGUAGAUGGACCUGCGUUGUAUUAGCUAGUUGGUAAGGUAAGAGCUUACCAAGGCGACGAUACAUAGCCGACCUGAGAGGGUGAUCGGCCACACUGGGAGUGAGACACGGCCCAGACUCCUACGGGAGGCAGCAGUAGGGAUUCGUCGGCAAUGGACGAGAGUCUGACCGAGCAACGCCGCGUGAGUGAAGAAGGUUUUCGGAUCGUAAAGCUCUGUUGUAAGUCAAGAACGUGUGUGAGAGUGGAAAGUUCACACAGUGACGGUAGCUUACCAGAAAGGGACGGCUAACUACGUG
Molecule: ribosomal RNA, 505 nt
Filed under: uncultured bacterium
Lineage: Bacteria
Description: partial 16S ribosomal RNA
Rfam family: Bacterial small subunit ribosomal RNA
Source: RNAcentral